Molecule: long non-coding RNA, 220 nt
Filed under: Mytilus galloprovincialis (Mediterranean mussel)
Lineage: Eukaryota; Metazoa; Mollusca; Bivalvia; Mytilida; Mytilidae
Source: RNAcentral
UGUGGGGUUCGUGUUGCUUAUUCGUUAGUUUUCUAUGUUGCGUCAUGUGUACUAUUGUUUGUCUGUUUGUCUUUUUCAUUUUUAGCCAUGGCGUUGUCAGUUUAUUUUCGAUUUAUGAGUUUGACUGUCCCUCUGGUAUCUUUUGUCCCUCUUUUUUAAUGGAUGCAAGUUCAGAAACUGUAACAACUGAAUGGUUGUAUCUGUAAGCCAGCAUAUUCUC